RNAcentral lists this ribosomal RNA (786 nucleotides) under Diaporthe sp. Its description in RNAcentral is "partial large subunit ribosomal RNA". It matches the Rfam family "Eukaryotic large subunit ribosomal RNA", at positions 92 to 909 of the family's 3401-position model. The record is from RNAcentral. Lineage: Eukaryota; Fungi; Ascomycota; Sordariomycetes; Diaporthales; Diaporthaceae.
AGUGAAGCAGGCAACAGCUCAAAUUUGAAAUCUGGCUUCGGCCCGAGUUGUAAUUUGCAGAGGAUGUUUCUGGCGCGGUGCCUUCCGAGUUCCCUGGAACGGGACGCCAUAGAGGGUGAGAGCCCCGUAUGGUUGGACACCAAGCCUGUGUGAAACUCCUUCGACGAGUCGAGUAGUUUGGGAAUGCUGCUCUAAAUGGGAGGUAAAUCUCUUCUAAAGCUAAAUACCGGCCAGAGACCGAUAGCGCACAAGUAGAGUGAUCGAAAGAUGAAAAGCACCUUGAAAAGGGGGUUAAAUAGUACGUGAAAUUGUUGAAAGGGAAGCACUUAUGACCAGACUUGGGCCGGGCGGCUCAUCAGGGGUUCUCCCCUGUGCACUCCGCCCGGCACAGGCCAGCAUCGGUUCUCGUGGGGGGAUAAGACCGUCAGGAACGUAGCACCCUCCGGGGUGUGUUAUAGCCUGGCGGACGAUACCCCCGUGGGGACCGAGGUCCGCGCUCCGCAAGGAUGCUGGCGUAAUGGUCAUCAGUGACCCGUCUUGAAACACGGACCAAGGAGUCGUCCAUUAGAGCGAGCGUUUGGGUGUAAAACCCGCACGCGUAAUGAAAGUGAACGCAGGUGAGAGCUUCGGCGCAUCAUCGACCGAUCCUGAUGUUCUCGGAAGGAUUUGAGUAAGAGUUUUAACGGACGGACCCGAAAGACAGUGAACUAUGCUUGUAUAGGGUGAAGCCAGAGGAAACUCUGGUGGAGGCUCGCAGCGGUUCUGACGUGCAAAUCGAUCGUCAAA